UAAGGAAUAUUGGACAAUGGUGGCAACACUGAUCCAGCCAUGCCGCGUGCAGGAUGAAGGCCCUAUGGGUUGUAAACUGCUUUUGUACGGGAAAAAACCUCUUUACGUGUAAAGAGCUGAUUGUACUGUAAGAAUAAGGAUCGGCUAACUCCGUGCCAGCAGCCGCGGUAAUACGGAGGAUCCAAGCGUUAUCCGGAUUCAUUGGGUUUAAAGGGUGCGUAGGCGGAAUGAUAAGUCAGUGGUGAAAUCUCUUAGCUUAACUAAGAAACUGCCAUUGAUACUGUCAAUCUUGAGUACAUUUGAUGUGGGCGGAAUGUGUCAUGUAGCGGUGAAAUGCUUAGAUAUGACACAGAACACCGAUUGCGAAGGCAGCUCACAAAACUGUAACUGACGCUGAGGCACGAAAGCGUGGGUAUCAAACAGG
This 424-nucleotide ribosomal RNA is filed under the name uncultured bacterium. RNAcentral's name for it is "bacterial SSU rRNA". It matches the Rfam family "Bacterial small subunit ribosomal RNA", at positions 355 to 776 of the family's 1533-position model. The record is from RNAcentral.